RNAcentral lists this long non-coding RNA (1597 nucleotides) under Ananas comosus (pineapple). RNAcentral describes it as "long non-coding RNA (ACOM_LNC017430)". Lineage: Eukaryota; Viridiplantae; Streptophyta; Magnoliopsida; Poales; Bromeliaceae. The record is from RNAcentral.
CUAGCAUCAAAUUUUUUAGGUAGUGUUUGGUUCGAGAACAAGCGGGGGAAUAAGCCCUUGUUCCCCCCUUUGUUCCCAAACGCAAUGUUUGGUUCCCGGGAACAGUAGUUUUUGGGAAUCUGGAACUAGCUGGUAUAAAGCUAGAACUGCUGUUCCACCCGUUUCUUGGAACAAGCUUGUUCCUUGAUGAGAACAAGAUUAAUUAAAAUCUAAAUUUAAUUUUAAUGGCAGUAAAUUAUUAAUUAAUCUAAUUAAUAUAUUUAAAUCAUUAUUUAUUACUUUAAUAAUUAAAUAAUUUAAAUAAUUUAUUAUUUAUAAUUAAAUAUUAAUAAUUAGAUAAUUAUUAUUAUUAAUUUAUUAUUUAUAAUUAAUUAUAAAUAAUUAAUAAUAUUCAUUAUUUUUUUAUUAAUAAUUAUUAUUCUUAAUGACAAUCGAUAUUAUUAUUAAUUUAUUAUUUAUAAUUAAUUAUUAAUAAUUAAUAAUUAUUAUUAUUUAUUAAUAAUUAUUAAUAAUUUUUAUUCUUAAUAAUUAGAUAAUCGAUAUUAUUAUUAAUUUAUUAUUUAUAAUUAAUUAUUUAUAAUUAAUAAUAAUUAUUAUUUAUUAAUAAUUAAUUAAUAAUUCUUAUUCUUAAUAAUUAGAUAAUGGAUAUUAUUAUUAAUUUAUUAUUUAUAAUUAAAUAAUAAUAAUUAUUAUUAUUUAUUAAUAAAUAUUAAUAUUAAUUAUUAUUAAUAAUUAGAUAAUCAAUAUUAUUAUUAAUUUAUUAUUUAUAAUUAAUUAAUAAGAAUAAUUUAUUAUUAUUAUUAUUAUUAUUAAUUAGAUAAUCCAUAUUAUUAAUUUAUUAUUUAUAAUUAAUUAUUAAUAAUAAUUAUUAUUUAUAAUUAAUUAUUAAUAAUUAAUUUCUUAUUUAUUUUUAAGUAAUAUUUUUAUUACUAUUAAUUACAUAAUAUAAUUUUAAUUUCAAAUUAUAACUCUUAUUUCUCUUGUUCCAAUCUAACCAUCCAAACACUAUUACCUUAUUCCUAGGAACAACCCAAUUUUCAUCCAAACACAAAAUUAGUCUAGUUCUUGCUUAUACCUGAACUUGUACCUAUCCCUACAACUAGCAGUUCUUACUUAUACCCGAACCAAACGCAGCCUUACUUUAUAGUUAGAGGAAUAACAUUUCUUGUAAAACCACUUUUCGUGAUCAAACAACAUUUGUGAACCACGAAACUCCCAAAUACGAAGUUAUAGGUUCAGAAACAAAAAAAAAAAAAAAACGAUUAAUUAAGUAGGCCUUUUUUAUUUUCAUCCUCAUAUGAAAAACUAAGAUACUUCGAAGAAGUUCCUAGAAAAACACGGUGCAGUCAAUUUGGGAUUGGAGUAUUUAGAAAAACGUGAUUCAAUCAAGUUGAGCUGAAAAUUUUGUUGAGAUCGGUAAAUUUUACAAUCGGCGGGAAAAAAUUUUAAAUGGCCAUAAUUUUUUACUCGAGUAUCAGAUUUUAAAGUGCAAUUCUAAUUUGAAACAUACUUUUUGAGAUCUACGCGUCAAAUGCGAAGCCAUUCCGGCUUUAUUUGGGACCCAAAUUUAAUUGUUUCGCCUCUGUUUUUGUUUUUU